UGUGACUAUAUGCGACAUUAUAUAUGUCUCACUAUAUGUGUCUUGGGGGGUUAUAUGUGUCACCCUAUAUGUGUCUUGGGGGUUAUAUGUGUCUCACUAUAUGUGUCUAGGGGGUUAUAUAUGUGUCUCACUAUAUGUGAGAUAUGCGACAUAUAUAUAUAUAUGACUAUAUGCGACAUUAUAUGUGUCUCACUAUAUGUGUCUUGGGGGGUUAUAUGUGUCACCCUAUAUGUGACUAGGGGGGGUUAUAUGUGUCACCCUAUAUGUGUCUAGGGGGGUUAUAUGUGUCUCACUAUAUAACUUACCCUAUAUAUGUGUCUUGGCACAUGACUGGUCUUUGACUCGUAUACCAUGUAGCGUGUUACUGGAUUUAAAUCUGAAUCCUUAAAAAGGCAGUUUUACCAUCCGUAUGACAUAUCCUCGGGUCCGGAUAUUUUGCGAAUCACCAAGAAGUACAAAAUUCGGACAUCUGUAUUCAAGAAUUCAACCAGAUUGCAGAGAUAAAAAAGACACGUGAGAAACACUUGAGAUACAUCAGAAACACGCGGAGAACACAUGCAAUAAUGGCUACUUGACAAAAUCUAUUCAUUUGAUCACGGG
Paramuricea clavata is the source of this 600-nucleotide non-coding RNA. The record is from the annotation of a GenBank genome assembly. NCBI's taxonomy places the organism in Eukaryota, Metazoa, Cnidaria, Anthozoa, Malacalcyonacea, Plexauridae.